This 1062-nucleotide long non-coding RNA is filed under the name Musa acuminata (dwarf banana). Its description in RNAcentral is "long non-coding RNA (MACU_LNC007207)". Lineage: Eukaryota; Viridiplantae; Streptophyta; Magnoliopsida; Zingiberales; Musaceae. The record is from RNAcentral.
CCAAACAAGAAAUUGAUCUAUUCUAACCCAAUCGCGAGGUGAGGGAAGAAGCGGCGAAAACGGGGAAACUGGGCUGUUGGCGAUCUGUGAGGAGAAGAGAACUCCAUUGCUACCAGCACUGUUCUCCUCCUUCCUCUUCUCAUUAGUGAAAAGGGGCCCGACAACUUGAGCGAGAUCGCCUUGUAGAGGCGAGGUUGUGACUAGGGAGAUCGGGGACCUUCUGCUCUUUCAGGAUCGAAAACCUUCUGCGGCUAGGGAGAUCCUCUGCUCUCCAUAGAGGAGCAGAGAGCAGAGAUCUGCUCACCCAAAGCGCGCCUUCUCUGGACCGAGAUCAGCGCUCAGUGAAGCGAGGAGAUCUCACCACUACUACUAGGCGGCGGUGGCAAAGACUCUUCCAGACUGCUGGCAAUGGGAAGGCUGUGAUCGUCGACCUGCUGUAAUCGCACCCUUCCCUCUACAGCCCCUCUGCUCUCCUUCUUCCUCUUCUCAAGAGGAGAAGAGGCACCGGCGAAAGAGGAGAGAUCGCACCAUCUACUCUCCUUCUUCCUCUUCCCCAGGAAUAGGGGAGAAGCAGCAGGCGACCAGUUGGGAGAGGAAUCAUUGGCAAAGGCAGCGACAGAUUGACGACCAAUCCUCUUUGCAGCCAGUGGAUUUGCACUCUUCUUCUUGCGGUCGACACUCUUCUUCUUCACGGAACAGUGGAGGAGAGAUCGGAGGAAGGCUGCUGAGAUCGCCCCCUUCUCGUGGUCAGUGGUUCUCUGCUGUGGCUGGCGGUUCUACAUCCCCUUCUCUCCUCCUGUUCUGCUCGAUGGAGCAGAGGAGGGUUUCUUUGGGGGCGGCAACUGCAUGUAGCCAUCUACAUUUCUUCGUCUCCUUCUCAUAAGGAGGAACAAAGGUGAGGUAGGCUGGGUGACAGCGGCGGCGGCUGCAACGGGAAGGCUGGGAUCGUCGAACUGUGAUCUCUCUCUGCAGCCUCUCUUGCCAAGGAACAGGGAUCAACUCGGCUGUAAUAUUUCUCAUUUUUUUAAAUUAUUAAUAAAAAUUUAUUUAUAAAUCGGUGGA